UACGGAGGGUGCAAGCAUUAAUCGGAUUUACUGGGCGUAAAGAGCACGUAGGUGGGAAAGAAAGUUAGAUGUGAAAGACUAGAGCUCAACUCUAGGACCGCAUCUAAUACUGCUUUUCUUGAGGAUAGGCGGAGAAAAUGGAAUUCCACGUGUAGCGGUGAAAUGCGUAGAUAUGUGGAAGAACACCAGUGGCGAAGGCGAUUUUCUAGCUUAUUCCUGACGCUGAGGUGCGAAAGCUAGGGGAGCAAACAGG
Molecule: unclassified non-coding RNA, 253 nt
Filed under: uncultured Chlamydiales bacterium
Lineage: Bacteria; Pseudomonadati; Chlamydiota; Chlamydiia; Chlamydiales
Description: contains 16S-23S intergenic spacer region
Rfam family: Bacterial small subunit ribosomal RNA
Source: RNAcentral